This is a non-coding RNA of Equus caballus (horse), 943 nucleotides long. Lineage: Eukaryota; Metazoa; Chordata; Mammalia; Perissodactyla; Equidae. The record is from RefSeq and is a predicted model, not a curated record.
CCCUGAAGUUUUUAUAGUUUUAUCUGGAGAAGCACUGGCUUGCACAGUCUUAAAUUCCUGGUGGUCGGGGGGUGAUGCGGUGGUGGUAGAGAUCAACAUUUGUAACUAACGAGUGCAUAACUUGAGUUCAUUGUUCUUAGCCAGACAGGUAUUUCUGUUACAUGAAGUUCAAGGGGAAAAAAAAGAAAAGCAGCUUGCUAAGUGGAGAAAGAUGUAGGAAACUAUUAAGUAUAUGAGGAGAACAAAGGAAGCAUUGUCUGUUCAUUAGACUGCAGGAAUAAGGCCAAGAGUGGGCAUUAUGAGGUCAGAAGCUCUUUAACCUAUUAAAAGUAGCUUUUACUAAAAUGGUAACCAGAUGGUACCAUCUGGAAUGAGAGACAUGAAUCGUACAAAACUCAAUAUAGAGCAAUGUUUGUGAUGAAUUGUUCUGUCAACAAAGAGGAGGUUCUAAGAUACAAAACCCCAGAGAACAGGAAGAAGAGGCGAGGCCAUAAGAAGAUGAGGACCAACCGUGAAGAUGCUGCAGAGCAGGCAGAGACGGAAGUGGAGGAAAUCUAUCACCCAGUUGUGUGCACCGAGUGUGCCACUGAAGUGGCAGUCUACGACAAGGAUGAAGUCUUUCAUUUUUUCAACGUUUUAGCAAGUCAUUCCUAAGUAGCUAAGUUGGCGUUUAAUUGCCCAAUACUGUGUAUAAGGCAAGUAUGGACAGUUAUUUUUCUCCUGCCUCUUCAUAUCAAGUGACAUUCUAGUGGUUGUGUUUUGUCUUUAUCUUUUUGAAAGAGAAUGGUUAUCAUCCUUCAUCCCUCCCCCUCCUUUUUUAAAAACUUUUCCACAGCUCUGAUGGGACUGGUAAUUCAUUCCUUUUUGAUGGACCUUUGGAAACUGUGGGGCUUUUUAUUUAUCAAAGCCCUUUAAAAUUAAAGUGUUCUGGAGUUACAAGUAA